Molecule: transfer RNA, 72 nt
Filed under: Bos taurus (domestic cattle)
Lineage: Eukaryota; Metazoa; Chordata; Mammalia; Artiodactyla; Bovidae
Also listed under: 2 other names
Rfam family: tRNA
About the family: Transfer RNA (tRNA) molecules are approximately 80 nucleotides in length. Their secondary structure includes four short double-helical elements and three loops (D, anti-codon, and T loops).
Source: Rfam by way of RNAcentral
CCACAGGUAGCUCAGAUGGUAAAGCGUCUGCCUGCAAUGCGGGAGACCUGGGUUCGAUCCCCAGGUUGGGAA